GAAUGUAGUGAAAAUUACCUGCUUGUUAUAUUCAAUUCUGACAUUGAUGAUAUUUGUAUUAUAAUUCUUGGAUUCUCAAUAUUCUUAUAUUCAGGAUAUGGAUUGAUACCUUAUCAAGUUGUCAAAUGAGUAGUGCUCAGAUUUUAAUGUACACAGCACUGUGAUAUUCCAGCUAGUACACUCACCUUUGUACCAUAUACAUGGGUCUUAAAUAUUUGUGUAUUAAAAGAACAGAACCCUAGAAUAGUUUUCGUUGUAUUUGACCAGAAAAUACCCCGU
Molecule: long non-coding RNA, 279 nt
Organism: Mytilus trossulus (common blue mussel)
Lineage: Eukaryota; Metazoa; Mollusca; Bivalvia; Mytilida; Mytilidae
Exons: 3
Source: RefSeq, a predicted model, not a curated record